Molecule: unclassified non-coding RNA, 150 nt
Filed under: Oryza sativa (Asian cultivated rice)
Lineage: Eukaryota; Viridiplantae; Streptophyta; Magnoliopsida; Poales; Poaceae
Description: partial microRNA MIR468n-19 precursor
Source: RNAcentral
UAAUACUCUCUCCAUCUCUAAAUAUAAGGGAUUUUGGUGAGAUGUGACACAUCCUAGUACUGUCCAGAUUUAUAAUACUAGGAUGUGUCACAUCCUAUCAAAUCAAAAUACAUUAUAUUAUGGGACGGAGGGAGUAUGUGAUAUGUUAAC